This 465-nucleotide ribosomal RNA is filed under the name Vreelandella stevensii. RNAcentral's name for it is "partial 16S ribosomal RNA". It matches the Rfam family "Bacterial small subunit ribosomal RNA", at positions 338 to 795 of the family's 1533-position model. The record is from RNAcentral. Lineage: Bacteria; Pseudomonadati; Pseudomonadota; Gammaproteobacteria; Oceanospirillales; Halomonadaceae.
CCUACGGGGGGCUGCAGUGGGGAAUAUUGGACAAUGGGGGGAACCCUGAUCCAGCCAUGCCGCGUGUGUGAAGAAGGCCCUCGGGUUGUAAAGCACUUUCAGUGAGGAAGAACGCCUGGUGGUUAAUACCCAUCAGGAAAGACAUCACUCACAGAAGAAGCACCGGCUAACUCCGUGCCAGCAGCCGCGGUAAUACGGAGGGUGCGAGCGUUAAUCGGAAUUACUGGGCGUAAAGCGCGCGUAGGUGGCUUGAUAAGCCGGUUGUGAAAGCCCCGGGCUCAACCUGGGAACGGCAUCCGGAACUGCCAAGCUAGAGUGCAGGAGAGGAAGGUAGAAUUCCCGGUGUAGCGGUGAAAUGCGUAGAGAUCGGGAGGAAUACCAGUGGCGAAGGCGGCCUUCUGGACUGACACUGACACUGAGGUGCGAAAGCGUGGGUAGCAAACAGGAUUAGAUACCCUAGUAGUC